This 137-nucleotide small nucleolar RNA is filed under the name Triticum aestivum (bread wheat). Its description in RNAcentral is "Small nucleolar RNA Z247". It matches the Rfam family "Small nucleolar RNA Z247". From Rfam's summary of the family: Z247 is a member of the C/D class of snoRNA which contain the C (UGAUGA) and D (CUGA) box motifs. Most of the members of the box C/D family function in directing site-specific 2'-O-methylation of substrate RNAs. Lineage: Eukaryota; Viridiplantae; Streptophyta; Magnoliopsida; Poales; Poaceae. The record is from Rfam by way of RNAcentral.
CCCAUCGGAGAAGAGGAGCUGCUCUCCUUCAUCAUUGCCAGGCUAGAAUGGACUAUCAGCCCAUCAUAUCAGCCUGGACGUCCGCACCGAGUCCGUCUCCAUUGAUGAGCUGUUCGCAAUGGUGGCGAACUUCGAUC